AAAACAAUCCAUAUAUUUUAUUAUACUUAGAAAGGCAGGAAAACAUGUUUUUUUUACAGUUUGUGCUGAAAGUUCAUUUUGCAACAACACAUAUAACAAAGAGAGAGUAGAAAGGCUUAAGCACUGGUCUUGAUAAUUUCAUCAUCUGCAUAACUUGCUUUCGGCUCGCCCUUGAUAUCCGUUUCUUGGAAAUAAUCCUCACGAGCGUUAUCAGCCAACAUCAAAGCCACCAACCAGAAGAGCGCGGAAUCAAGAGACAAGAAGGCACCUCCACCUAGAAGACCGGUCUUGGCAGUUGGGCAAUCGGUCUGCAAGUUGUGAUGAAUGUUGCGUGUGAUAUGAAGUUGCUCGGUGAUUGUAGGCCACAACAACAAUGUUGCUGCUAAACCAGUUGUGCCCAAUGCAAUAUUUAAGAACACGAGGAAACUAGUGUUUCUCAGCAAAGCAGCUUGUGGAACUGACUUUCCUUGAUACGGAUAAAACAAAGACAGAAAACCGGCCACAGAAGAUGCAGCAAGAAAAACAAAAGACAAAUAGCCCAAGGCAACAGUAGGAUCAGACUUGUAUUUACAAAUAACAACGCCUUUUCCUGAUAUUGCAGUCCCAGCUGCAGGCUUCUUGUUUUCAGCUAUAACUCCAAAUAUAAAGGAUAAAACACCAAGGGUUGCUAUUAUCAUAGACAUCUGCUUCAUACCAAUCGCCAUUGGACCUCCAAGCUCUCAGCGACUACCCUUUUGGAAGAUUAGUUCUAUGGAGAAGAAAAAUGAUAAUUCUGCAGAUCUGUUGAUCUUUUUUUUGUGUGUAUUUAAAGGAAAAUCAAAGUUUU
Molecule: unclassified non-coding RNA, 826 nt
Filed under: Hevea brasiliensis (rubber tree)
Lineage: Eukaryota; Viridiplantae; Streptophyta; Magnoliopsida; Malpighiales; Euphorbiaceae
Source: RNAcentral